RNAcentral lists this transfer RNA (77 nucleotides) under Chlamydiota bacterium. RNAcentral's name for it is "Chlamydiae bacterium tRNA-Arg". It matches the Rfam family "tRNA". From Rfam's summary of the family: Transfer RNA (tRNA) molecules are approximately 80 nucleotides in length. Their secondary structure includes four short double-helical elements and three loops (D, anti-codon, and T loops). Lineage: Bacteria; Pseudomonadati; Chlamydiota. The record is from RNAcentral.
GGGCUUAUAGCUCAGCGGACAGAGCAACUGGCUUCGAACCAGUGUUGUCCCAGGUUCGAAUCCUGGUAGGCCCUCCA